RNAcentral lists this transfer RNA (75 nucleotides) under Colwellia psychrerythraea. RNAcentral's name for it is "tRNA-Val". It matches the Rfam family "tRNA". Rfam says of the family: Transfer RNA (tRNA) molecules are approximately 80 nucleotides in length. Their secondary structure includes four short double-helical elements and three loops (D, anti-codon, and T loops). RNAcentral also lists the same sequence under 10 other names. Lineage: Bacteria; Pseudomonadati; Pseudomonadota; Gammaproteobacteria; Alteromonadales; Colwelliaceae. The record is from RNAcentral.
GCGCGGUUAGCUCAGUGGUAGAGUCCUCGCCUGACUUGCGAGUUGUCAAGUGUUCGAAUCACUUACCGCGCACCA